Molecule: unclassified non-coding RNA, 149 nt
Filed under: soil metagenome
Description: partial internal transcribed spacer 1
Source: RNAcentral
CCGAGUUAUCAACUCCCAAACCCCUGUGAACUAUACUCUUGUUGCCUCGGCGAUCAAGCCCUACCCGGUAAAUCGGCCGGACGGCCCGCCAGAGGACAACCCUAAACUCUGUUAUCUAGUGAUUACUUCUGAGUACCUAUAAUAAGUCA